RNAcentral lists this long non-coding RNA (272 nucleotides) under Gossypium raimondii (Peruvian cotton). Its description in RNAcentral is "long non-coding RNA (GRAI_LNC010831)". Lineage: Eukaryota; Viridiplantae; Streptophyta; Magnoliopsida; Malvales; Malvaceae. The record is from RNAcentral.
GGAUUUUAUGGUCUUUUAGUUGUAACCCUAGUUUUACUACCUCUAAACAUGCAUGUACUUUUGCUGCGAAAGUCGAACCUACGUUCUCAUGGAUGGUUGCUUUUGAGGCGAUCACUUUGCCCCUUCCAUCUUGAGCAACCACUCCCAAUCCUACUCUGAAGAAAUCCUUAUUAAAGUCGGCAUCAAAAUUGAUUUUUAUAUCCUCUCUAGAAGAAGGAACCAACGUUUCUUUGAUUAUCGCCUUGGUAAGUCAUUUAUCCUCUAAGCAGUCC